This 74-nucleotide transfer RNA is filed under the name Marmota monax (woodchuck). RNAcentral's name for it is "tRNA.Ser". Lineage: Eukaryota; Metazoa; Chordata; Mammalia; Rodentia; Sciuridae. The record is from RNAcentral.
GCCUGGGAUGGUUCAGUGGAAGAAUGUUUGCCUAGAACAUGCAUGAGGCUCUGGGUUCCAUCCCCAGCACUGCA